Molecule: transfer RNA, 72 nt
Filed under: Bos taurus (domestic cattle)
Lineage: Eukaryota; Metazoa; Chordata; Mammalia; Artiodactyla; Bovidae
Also listed under: 3 other names
Rfam family: tRNA
About the family: Transfer RNA (tRNA) molecules are approximately 80 nucleotides in length. Their secondary structure includes four short double-helical elements and three loops (D, anti-codon, and T loops).
Source: Rfam by way of RNAcentral
UCCUUGAUGGUCCAGUGGUUAAGACUCUGCACUUCCAAAGAAGGGGUACAGGUUUGAUUCUUGAUUGGGGAA